GCUCGUAGUGUAUUGGUUGGUUCGCCAC
This 28-nucleotide non-coding RNA is filed under the name Bombyx mori (domestic silkworm). The record is from RNAcentral. Lineage: Eukaryota; Metazoa; Arthropoda; Insecta; Lepidoptera; Bombycidae.